UCUCAAUUAUUCGGCCCAAUUGAAAAUAAAAAUAAAGGCCCAAAACAAUUUAAACAAAGCCCAAGCUUAAAAUUCGGCCCAAAAGAAAUUAGUGGCCCAAAACAUAGCCCAACUAAAAAAAAAACAAAAGCCCAAACCUCUAUCUCUUUACUCAACUCUCGGUCUUCUUUUUUUUUUCUCACCCACACAAUUUCAUAACUCUCUCUCUCUCAAAGAAAUACACACACAGACGCACGCUUCGGUUCUCUCUCUCUCUCGAUCCCUCUCCAGCCGAGGCGGGCGCCGCCGCCGCUGCCGGCGCGGCCGUGCCUGGCAGAGGGUGGCACACCUUGCCGUCUCACUCUCCUCUCUCUCUCAAGGAGUUGCUCGCCCCUUCCUCUCCAGCCUGCUCGCUCGGCUCCAUCCUCCGCACAGGUCGGCUCCUCCUACCCCGGCAGUGCAGCGGCCGUCGGCUCCGGUUGGCUUCGAUUUUCGACACUUCAAACCUCAGCGUCGUUCUCUCUCCUCAGCGCAGAGCCCCCAAAAUCGUGCCCUAGAGUCAACUACCAGGUUGCUGCCGCCGUUGUCUGGAGCCAUCGCCGCCGUCUGGAGUUGCUGCUGCUCGUCCGAUGGUCAGCGCCGACUGCUGCUGCUUCGCCGGGAGUCGCCGCCGACUGGAGUUGCUGCUCUCGACCUUGCUCUCUGUUUCUCUACUCCCAAGUCAUCUCCCCCUUUCAAUCUAUGGAGCGGAGGAAAAUCCUUACUCCUAAUUCAGAAAUCGCCUCAGCUCGACGCCGCUCUACUAUGAAAUUCCGGCGAGCAGGAGAGUGUCCGACGCCCUCAUCGAUUCUCCGAUGAGUAGUAAAUCAGGGUAGGGCGGUGUCCGCUGCUCCCCUCUUUCACUCGUGUACACGAACGAGGGAAAGGCCGAGUUCUCGGUCCUCUUAGCUCAGGCGAGAGAGUCACCGCCGUCCACCUCUCGUUCGACGGAAUAGUCAAGUCGGCUCCUUCUCGGUACAUUGAAACAGGUGAGUAAGGAAUGAAUGGAGGUGAAUGGAGGAAGGUUGCUGCUGAAUUGUUUGCUUGAAGAAGUGUUGGCUAGUAGCUUUCAAGAAUCGAAGGUGGUGGGGAGAAUGUAGUGGAGGAAAGCAAAAGGUGGUGGGCAAAGGAUUGUAGUGCACACUUUUCCUUAUCUUAUCUUGCUUUGCAACAUUUUGUUUUUUUUUUUU
This is a long non-coding RNA of Salvia miltiorrhiza (redroot sage), 1208 nucleotides long. RefSeq lists it as uncharacterized. The transcript has 2 exons. The record is from RefSeq and is a predicted model, not a curated record. NCBI's taxonomy places the organism in Eukaryota, Viridiplantae, Streptophyta, Magnoliopsida, Lamiales, Lamiaceae.